UUGACAGCCCUGGAAAUGGAUCCGUUAUCAACACGAAAAGGUACAAUAUAGGCAACGGCAAUGCAAGCUUCCCCACAGUGUCUUGCCAACAUACCUCAGUAAUAAAUUCUCACUUCUGCCUCUGGUAAAUAAGAAAUCCAUCUGAUCUCCAUACUCAUUCAAGCCUUAGCUUCU
RNAcentral lists this small RNA (174 nucleotides) under Crocodylus porosus (Australian saltwater crocodile). Its description in RNAcentral is "TUC338 (ENSCPRG00005015280.1)". Lineage: Eukaryota; Metazoa; Chordata; Crocodylia; Crocodylidae. The record is from RNAcentral.